This 253-nucleotide ribosomal RNA is filed under the name uncultured bacterium. Its description in RNAcentral is "partial 16S ribosomal RNA". It matches the Rfam family "Bacterial small subunit ribosomal RNA", at positions 524 to 776 of the family's 1533-position model. The record is from RNAcentral.
UACAUAGGGUGCGAGCGUUAAUCGGAAUUACUGGGCGUAAAGCGUGCGCAGGCGGUUCGCCAAGUCAGGUGUGAAAUCCCCGGGCUUAACCUGGGAAUUGCGCUUGAAACUAGCGGGCUUGAGUGCGGCAGAGGGGGGUGGAAUUCCACGUGUAGCAGUGAAAUGCGUAGAGAUGUGGAGGAACACCGAUGGCGAAGGCAGCCCCCUGGGUCGACACUGACGCUCAUGCACGAAAGCGUGGGGAGCAAACAGG